This 323-nucleotide ribosomal RNA is filed under the name uncultured Nitrosomonas sp. RNAcentral describes it as "bacterial SSU rRNA". It matches the Rfam family "Bacterial small subunit ribosomal RNA", at positions 9 to 331 of the family's 1533-position model. Lineage: Bacteria; Pseudomonadati; Pseudomonadota; Betaproteobacteria; Nitrosomonadales; Nitrosomonadaceae. The record is from RNAcentral.
GGUUUUGAUCCUGGCUCAGAUUGAACGCUGGCGGCAUGCUUUACACAUGCAAGUCGAACGGCAGCACGAGUGCUUUGCACUUGGUGGCGAGUGGCGAACGGGUGAGUAAUACAUCGGAACGUGUCUUAGAGUGGGGGAUAACGCAUCGAAAGAUGUGCUAAUACCGCAUAAUCUCUAAGGAGAAAAGUAGGGGAUCGAAAGACCUUGCGCUUUNGGAGCGGCCGAUGUCUGAUUAGCUAGUUGGUAGGGUAAAGGCUUACCANGGCAACGAUCAGUAGUUGGUCUGAGAGGAUGGCCAACCACACUGGGACUGAGACACGGCC